RNAcentral lists this ribosomal RNA (409 nucleotides) under bacterium. RNAcentral describes it as "partial 16S ribosomal RNA". It matches the Rfam family "Bacterial small subunit ribosomal RNA", at positions 355 to 776 of the family's 1533-position model. The record is from RNAcentral.
UGGGGAUUAUUGCACAAUGGGCGAAAGCCUGAUGCAGCGACGCCGCGUGAGGGAUGACGGCCUUCGGGUUGUAAACCUCUUUCAGUAGGGACGAAGUGCAAGUGAUGGUACCUGCAGAAUAAGCACCGGCUAACUACGUGCCAGCAGCCGCGGUAAUACGUAGGGUGCGAGCGUUGUCCGGAAUUACUGGGCGUAAAGAGCUCGUAGGCGGUUUGUCACGUCGUCUGUGAAAUCCUAGGGCUUAACCCUGGACGUGCAGGCGAUACGGGCUGACUUGAGUACUACAGGGGAGACUGGAAUUUCUGGUGUAGCGGUGGAAUGCACAGAUGUCAGGAAGAACACCGAUGGCGAAGGCAGGUCUCUGGGUAGUAACUGACGCUGAGGAGCGAAAGCAUGGGUAGCGAACAGG